CGCGAGCUUCGUUGUACCCCUCGCCCAGAGCCUCCGACCCGCGCUUUGCUCUCCGCCCCGCCUGAGGAUCGCGGUCACAAAUCGCAGGCAGCGGGUGUCGUAGGGGAAUCUGCAAAUGCUUAAGCCUCCCUCUGCUUCGGCACUGGAAGGAAACGCUGCAUUUCCCAGUCGCGCGGGUUAAACUGCAGGCGCUGGCAAACAAUUGCUAGGAGGCCCUUCCAGCGUGCAUUGCAUGGAUAACUCUGUCUCUUCACAGGGCUGGGAAAGAAAUCCAAAGUCGUGACUCAGGAGGCGCCUCGGGAAGGAAGAAACCGUGGACGUCCUCGGCGUGGCCGUGCCUGUUCCUCUGUCUCCUAUUCGGCUCGAGAGCUGCUCGUUGUGGUCAGCUUUCCGCUCUCCUGCCGGCCCUGGAUCUCGUUCCAAAUUCAAUCUGCUCGAAGGCAAGGCGUUGGCGAGAGGGGAGCGCGGCUGAACUCCAAAACCCCACGGUUUGGAGGACACUGAACGUGCUGCCCAGUGGAUGUGGCUUUUUCCUGAAACAGCCUUGCGGUAGUCGGUCGCCUGCCUGGCCGAGCCCCCCAUCAGACGCUCCUGUGCAUCCAGCUGCCUGCGCCGGGAGAGAGCUGCCUUGUUCGAAGUAUUGCAGAGUCUGCCCGUACGUCCUGAGCUACCCCACGAUGCAUGCAGCAUCCUUUCAUGUCCUGCAACAUGCUGAUGGUCCCUAGGGAUUGCCAGUCUCCGUGAUUUCCUCCGUGAAAGGGAAGGGAAAGCAGUGCAAAAAAAUUAAAAAAGCAAAACCCCGCAGCUGAGUGGUUAUUGUUGUUGCCUUCCAGCCGGCUCUUGCAAAAGACGUAAGGAUCAAUCGCUCACAACUAACAAAAUGUUUUUGUUUCCCUUUGUAAAAGCAUAUGGGAGCUCCAGGAAAAGCAUAUGGGCGUUUUUAGGAAAACAUAUUGGAGAAUGGACAAAUUAUAGCGGUGCCAAUAUGCUUUCGAUGUCUGGCUAGACCACUACUACUACACUUGCUGGCAUACAAAUCCUUCUACAAGAUUUCCUGAGGUAGCAUAUGAUGAGUGGUGUGUAACGGCUCGUGGGGAAGCACAGACGCUUGCAUCCAACCCAUGCUCAAUUACAUCGUGAUCCACGCUGUGCGCGCGUGACUGCCGCCACCCCACCCUGUGUCGUCUGCACCGUGGCUGGUGGCAUCCGGAGACUGCGCUUUUGGGGGGAGAGCCGGUCCGGCGAAUGCAUCGUGCCCAGAGUUUAGUUGCACGGUAACCUUCGCUCUCUGGGUCUAGGUGCUGCAUUCAUCCCCAUGGGAUCUGAGCGUCUUGCGGAUGUUCGGUGGCGCGCUCAGCCCCUGAUUCUCUGCUGCUUUCUCGUGAACGGGCAAACUAAACUAGCCAAAAAAGUGCAUUGGUUUGGGGGAGAUAUCAUGCACUUGUACGGAUGCUGGACACGGUUCUAGGUCCCUCCUCCUUGAAGAGCAAAGCAGGGCACCAGAAUAGACAGAGGAUGAAGGACAAAUAUACUCGAAGGUAUUAAGUGGACUUGACUGUUGGCUGUGCUGUGGCGGCUCGCCGCCGCCGGCAAGGGUGCCGAUGCCCUGAACCGUGGGAAGUCCUCACAGAGCAUAGCCUGCGUCCUCGGCUCUUCUGCAUGUUGGCUUGAAAGGGGGUUGCACACGUUUCUCAAGAGGAUCUGGUCCCUGCUGUGUGAGCGGGU
This 1725-nucleotide long non-coding RNA is filed under the name Crocodylus porosus (Australian saltwater crocodile). Its description in RNAcentral is "lncRNA (ENSCPRG00005012527.1)". Lineage: Eukaryota; Metazoa; Chordata; Crocodylia; Crocodylidae. The record is from RNAcentral.